Molecule: ribosomal RNA, 259 nt
Filed under: uncultured bacterium
Lineage: Bacteria
Description: partial 16S ribosomal RNA
Rfam family: Bacterial small subunit ribosomal RNA
Source: RNAcentral
CGAAGGGGCUAGCGUUGUUCGGAAUUACUGGGCGUAAAAGGGCGCGUAGGCGGCUUUUCUAAGUCAGGCGUGAAAUACCCCGGGCCGUUAAACCUGGGAACUGCGCUUGAGACUGGAAGGCUUGAGUUCGGGAGAGGUGAGUGGAAUUCCCAGUGUAGAGGUGAAAUUCGUAGAUAUUGGGAAGAACACCAGCGGCGAAGGCGGCUCACUGGACCGAUACUGACGCUGAGGCGCGAAAGCGUGGGGAGCAAACAGGAUU